Molecule: long non-coding RNA, 2591 nt
Organism: Calidris pugnax (ruff)
Lineage: Eukaryota; Metazoa; Chordata; Aves; Charadriiformes; Scolopacidae
Exons: 3
Source: RefSeq, a predicted model, not a curated record
AUUAUUCCUUCAGCUUUAAUAAUUCAAACUCCCUGUCUGCCUUACAGGGAGUUUUCCUCUCGCCUGGAAGACACAUGAUGCUGACUGGGGAGAUCCCCAGUCUGCUGCUCGUAUUUUUAAUGGAAAAUCCAUAUGGGAUCUAAAAGAUUUAUGUGGAUUUCCACUCUCCAGUUACUUGGGAUUUUUACUCAAGAGUGGUGCUCAGAGCUCCAGGUGACCAUGAGCCAGCGCGGUGGCUGAAAGCUGCGGCAACACAGCGCUACCGGGGGAGCCGCUCCAGAAAUGAGGACAGCUAUCUGCCUCCUCUUUGCAGAGACAACUUAUGAGGUCAAGUGGUACACCAGUAAGUGCAGUUAAGUCAAAAGGAGACCAGGGAGUGUUUCUUUCUCCUCCGCUUCUCUUUUUCUGUGAAUCCUACUUUCUGCCCCUGGGACCGUGGCGAUGCUCAAGCACUCUCUUUCCUUGCUGUCCAAGGGCGACGUGGAUCAACCCCUAAAUCUUCUCCUAUAAAAGUAGCUUUUAUACCAGAUGAAUGGUAAAAGAAAGACAUUUAUGUUUUAUAAGAGCUAAUAGCACAGAAUGUAAACACUAAGAGCUGACUGUCAAAUACAAUUCUGUUGCUAUGCACAAAUUUAGAUUCAAGGUUAUGCAGCUCCAAACGCUUCACUGAAAGAAGUGAUACUUCCAGUUGUUUAAAGUCUUUGUUAACACACAGCUAUUAAUUUAAUUUAUUAGUUUUUUUACAUGCAUUUUCUGCAAUAAAAGUAUAUUUUGUUUCUUCUUGGCAAUGAUGUAAUGCAAAGAUUUGGUUUCCAUAUAGAUAUGUUACAUAUUCCAGGGGAAGUGCAAAUUGCUAGCAACAUUGCUUAAGCACAGAAAUUCAUGUAGUAAGACAGAUUUAUUGGAGACCUACUGAAUUAGUUCACAUAAUAUAUACCCCGCAGUUUGAUAUUGCCUUCUGCCCUCUCAGCUUUACAAAUAUUAAGCAGAUUAGCUUGACCAUGCAGCGAGCUAUGCCUGCAAUUUCCCGUUUUAUGGAGAGGUUAAAUGAAACACGACAAAAUAGUUGUGCUGACUGUGGUCAUAGAGGAAAUCCAUGACUAGACAAGAAAGAAAUCUCUUAAUUUCCAUGCCUGUACUCUACACCAGUGAUGACACCCUCUUGUUAAGUAUCAUACCUGUCAUUUUAUAUGCUGUUUUUCAUGAAAGAGAAGUUGUAGGAUACUUUUUAAUAGGGAGCAUCCCUAAUUAUCUUCUGCCAAGGGCAUUUAUGGGUUUAGCCUGAAUCCAGCUCUUCCAGUGCCUAUGAGAGACUGAAAAUGUGAAUUAUAAUGAGUCAAAAUCUCUUACAUGGUCAUUUCACCUCUGCCUGUCAUGUUGUUGUCCCUGGCUAGCCACUACAAGCAAUGAUUGUGAUGUAGAGGUGAGUUCAGCCGUUUGGUGCUGGGCAGCACAAAUGGUCACCAUGAAAAUAUGUUCCAUGGCUUAGGCAACAUCACUUGAAGAACUGGGGAGAAGAAGGGCACAGCAGCUCCUCACAACACCAAAAGUCCCUUUUCCUGCAUAGAGGGGAGAGUGAAACUGUCCUGUCAUGGAGAAGAAAUGGCCAUGUGCCUUGGGCUGCUUGCUCUGGGGGUACAAAAGCUUCAUUUUCUGCUUAUCUUGGGUACUUUGUCUUUUCCCUCCUGUCUUUCCUGUCUACAUCUUCUAUACUCUCACUGGUGCUCGCAUGCUUAAAUUUUGCUGUUAUGGUAGCUUGACCUUCACAAUUCUUAAAUGCAGCAACAACAGAUGUGUGCCUGCUGCUUUUCCAGUUGUUUUAUUUGAGCAUUUCUUCUGUUUGUUCACUUUUCCUCCCACCACUCGCAAUUUGUGUUUUCAGUAUCCUAACUAUAGAGCUGGGGCUGCUCUGUGUGACUCUACAAGGACAUUUUUGUUACUGGAAUAAAAACAGUCAUGUGUCCUAUUCAGUGUUCUGUAUGUGAUGUAUAGGGAAGUCUAUGUAAAUCUUCAGGUGUUGUUACCUAAGCCAACGAGAUCUUAAGGGAAACCUCUAGUAAUAUUACAUCAUAGCAUAUAAUAAGUUUGUCUCUGCAUUGUGGUUAUAAAUUAAUUAAUGGCAAGCUGAGACAAAACCACUGCCAACAACAUUAUGUAUUACAAACAAAUGGGUUACUGAUGAAACUUAAACUUUACUAAAGAAUCAGACUUAACUUUGAAUUUUAAAUUCCUGUACACUUUUUUUUUUUUUUUAAAUAAUAACAAGAAUUGGUAUCUGUGAGCGAGAAGUCAGCAUUGAUGCAACAGCACACAUCUGAAAGUGUGAAAUCAGCACGAAAGUUGAAGUACUGUUUCUUAAAGUACUUUUGGAACUGGCAAAAAGUGGAACUUUCUCAGAGCUGUUAAAAGUCCUCAAAGCUGUUAAAAGUCCUCAAAGUUGUUGAAAACACUGUAAUCUUCAGAAAGGAACUGUGCCUGGCAUGUAGUGUUAUCAACGGAGAUGCUGCUCAUUUUCUGUGGAUUAGGGAAAGGUGAUUUUUGACCUAUAUUUUAAAUUUGUAGUAAUUUUUUUUUCCAAGUUAUGCACUACA